Long non-coding RNA from Globicephala melas (long-finned pilot whale), 810 nucleotides. RefSeq lists it as uncharacterized. NCBI's taxonomy places the organism in Eukaryota, Metazoa, Chordata, Mammalia, Artiodactyla, Delphinidae. The record is from RefSeq and is a predicted model, not a curated record.
GCUGCGCCCCGCACCCGCUUUGGCUGGGGGUCCUCCCACCAAAACUCUCCCUUGCUUCUUUCCAGCCUCCAGAGCCGGAGACAGCCGCUUAUCCCUGCGCCCCGCGGGUUCCGAGGCCCUCUCCGCAGACCCCCGCCCUCAACUUCUUACCCCGGUUUGGGCAAUAAGCUGCCCCGCUCUUUGUCCCAGGCCCAGGCCAUGGCGGGUGGGUGGGCGCCGUGGGCCCGGGAGAAGGGCGGAGCGCUGUGCUGGGCCGGGGACGAGGCUGGGUGACGGCGGUAGCGCCGGGAGUCUGCAGUGUGCGAACGAGAAGUGAGCGCAGAGCGCCCGGCGAGCAGGUGCCAGUGGCGCGGAGAGCGCAAGAGCGAGCCAGAGAGCAGCAGCCGUACGCGGGCCUCUCACUGUUGUGGCCUCUCCCGUUGCGGAGCACAGGCUCUGGACGCGCAGGCCCAGCGGCCAUGGCUCACGGGCCCAGCCGCUCCGUGGCAUGUGAGAUCUUCCCGGACUGCGGCACGAACCCGUGUCCCCUGCAUCGGCAGGCAGACUCUCAACCACUGCGCCACCAGGGAAGCCCAACACAAAGCAUUUUUAAAGGCCAGAUGAGGAAACUGGGGCUCAGAGAGGUUCAGUAACUUGUCCAAGAGACUCAGGCAGCAAGUGGAGGAAUUGGGACCAAACCUUGGCAGUCUGACUCAGGAGCCCGGAAUCUUUGCUAGUAUUCUACACAGCUUCUAGAGACUGCCCACAUUCCCUGGCUCCAGGCCCCAUUCCUGCAUCUUCAAAGUCAGUGGCAUACAUCUUCUGCCCUCU